RNAcentral lists this ribosomal RNA (610 nucleotides) under Zhuliangomyces illinitus. RNAcentral's name for it is "eukaryotic LSU rRNA". It matches the Rfam family "Eukaryotic large subunit ribosomal RNA", at positions 57 to 649 of the family's 3401-position model. The record is from RNAcentral. Lineage: Eukaryota; Fungi; Basidiomycota; Agaricomycetes; Agaricales; Amanitaceae.
AAAAGAAACUAACAAGGAUUCCCCUAGUAACUGCGAGUGAAGCGGGAAAAGCUCAAAUUUAAAAUCUGGCAGUCUUUGGCUGUCCGAGUUGUAAUCUAGAGAAGUGUUAUCCGUGCUGGACCGUGUAUAAGUCUCCUGGAAUGGAGCGUCAUAGAGGGUGAGAAUCCCGUCUUUGACAUGGACUCCCAGUACAUUGUGAUACGCUCUCAAAGAGUCGAGUUGUUUGGGAAUGCAGCUCAAAAUGGGUGGUAAAUUCCAUCUAAAGCUAAAUAUUGGCGAGAGACCGAUAGCGAACAAGUACCGUGAGGGAAAGAUGAAAAGAACUUUGGAAAGAGAGUUAAACAGUACGUGAAAUUGUUGAAAGGGAAACGCUUGAAGUCAGUCGCACUGUCCAGGGAUCAACUUAACUCUUUUGUUGAGUGUACUUUCUGGUUAGUGGGUCAGCAUCAAUUUUGACCAUUGGAAAAAGGCUAAGGGAAUGUGGCACCUUUUGGUGUGUUAUAGCCCUAGUUGUAUACAAUGGUUGGGAUUGAGGAACUCAGCACGCCGCAAGGCCGGGUUUUUAACCACGUUCGUGCUUAGGAUGCUGGCAUAAUGGCUUUAAUCGACC